RNAcentral lists this ribosomal RNA (63 nucleotides) under Solanum lycopersicum (tomato). RNAcentral describes it as "partial 28S ribosomal RNA". The record is from RNAcentral. Lineage: Eukaryota; Viridiplantae; Streptophyta; Magnoliopsida; Solanales; Solanaceae.
CCUCAGAUGGCCCCUUCCAGGUCCUCCGACUCGCGACCCUCAGUCAGCGCGAUACCCACGUGC